This 238-nucleotide long non-coding RNA is filed under the name Homo sapiens (human). Its description in RNAcentral is "HSALNT0391072". Lineage: Eukaryota; Metazoa; Chordata; Mammalia; Primates; Hominidae. The record is from RNAcentral.
AUCAGCCUGGCCAUCUGGAUUUUCACACAGUAAAGCAGGAAGCCUCCAAGGCCAGCCUGUCCAACAGAGGGGCAGCCAGGACAUCUCUGCCCUCUUCUCAUCCCCCAGCCACAGUGGCCAAAGAGGCCCCCACUAGGCACUGUGGCUCUGCAUGACAAACACACAUCCAGCCCAGGACUCUAAGCCUCUCACCUGGACUCCAGUAAAAACCUUGCUGAGCCUCCUUGUCUAUCCUUCC